RNAcentral lists this long non-coding RNA (17345 nucleotides) under Aquilegia coerulea. RNAcentral describes it as "long non-coding RNA (ACOE_LNC002233)". Lineage: Eukaryota; Viridiplantae; Streptophyta; Magnoliopsida; Ranunculales; Ranunculaceae. The record is from RNAcentral.
ACAAAUUUUUUUGGUUUAAAAACAUUGUUUAAAAGCAAGCCUAGCUAUUGCCCUAAACUGUACACGAGCUUAACUUUUUUAGCGUUUAAGCGUUGUUCAAACAUGAGCCUACAACCUCAAACCUUUAAUGUAGCCCCUUGGUUCUCCAUUAAUUUUCAAAUAACAUUUUCUCCGUGAGCAACCUGCAAAGAAAGUGAACAGUUGAUCUUCAGUCAAACACGUGACUCAAUUUUCAUUUAGAAGUUCAUAAUCACCUGCAAAAGACAGGGUACAACAAAUAUCGCUCAACACAAGUUUAGCGGAAACAGUGUCAUAGAAGUACAUUAAAAGGUUGUCAUUAUUGAAUAUGCAAAUCAAGGGCUUGUAGUUCUUGUUUACCUCAGGUUGAUAAUUGUUGGCCAGCACAACUUCAGAACUCAAAGACCUAAGAGAGCUACAAUCUGACAAGAGAUAGGAAAAAACAUGAGUUAAAUAAAAUGUUCAAUGACAGACAUUAGAAACAAAUAGAAACGAUUUAAAUGACACGAGAAUCCCUGGUUUCAAUAUCAUUUUGCUUCAUGUUGGAAAAAAUAUUCUACACCAAAUAUCAAAAAGCAAGCCUUCAAUCAAUCUUUCCAAUGACCAAAUUAUGCUUAUAUUUCACAAAGAAAAUGAUUCUAAAUACACUGCAAUAUGGUACAGAUCAGAUACACGUUCAUUUAGCAGAUUUUAGAAAAUAGUGAAAGUUGACAUUAGGUUCGUAAUCCGACUACCAACAGGGUUAACAAAGCAGAACCAACGCUAGACUGGCAGUUAGAUUGAACUCAUCAUUGUGAUUAAUUAUUAAGCAAAUUAAACGUACCCGACUUAGUAUAGAUGAAGUUCUGCAACCUAGAAGUUGAGAAACGUCAGUUUGGCUCUCUAUCACAUAUUUUCACUUAGCACAAUCCAAAAAAUAUCUAUUGCCUGCAGUGGAACCACAGCAGCCAUGUUAUCCAUUCUUUCGGUCUCGAAAGCAUUGUUCAGUAUGCAUUCAGCUAACGAGUGCACACAUGAAGAAGAUAAUUGUCGCCCCAUCGCUGCAUGUAUGCACAUCCUGUAAUAGAUCACAGACAUUUAAAGGCUCAACAAACAGGCAAGUCUUGUUCAAUAUUUGAGGGCAUAUUGAGAAUAAGAUUGCUCUCAAAGAAAUUUAAGGCUUUAGAUCAAAGUUGGACGAUACAGUAGUCAUGAUAGGGACGUCUUCCUGGCAUGGUACAUGGCGGAAUCCUAAUGUCUUCCAUAACAGAGAUUUUGUUGACGAAGUAUCAAUAUCAAUGAAAUUGAUCACUGCUUCCCUCAACUCCCAUUAUCUCUCUAUCUUAGUUGUACAAAACCCAAACUCAUAACUUCAGAUGUUAUUCCCUUUAGUUUACAUUUUUGUUUCAACAGCCAUGGUAUAAAUAACUGAUGAUCAAGCCAAAUGAUGUAUGUUAUGAUCAAGCCAAAUGAUCAACUAACUUGAGCAAGUAGCCUGCUUCAGAAAAAUGGAAAAAUAUUUCUUUUAGUGCCUAUAUUAGCACUGCAUCAACUUAAAAAUUGAGUUGCAUAAUGUGGCAUAACUGUCUUUAUAUCUAAGGCUGAAAGGGUGUGGGAAGGGUGGGGUUGUAUGUUGCGAAAUUUUCAAAACCUGAUCAACUAAUUCUUAAUGCAUAGUAAAUGUGGCAGAUUAUGGACGUGAUGCUAAAUUUCGAAACUACACUAAGAAAAUAAAGAUGUUGGAGGAAGGGCUUAAACCUUCGACUUUGUGCUUUGAAAGCCACACCCUCUAACCAACUGAGUUACUCCAGCUUAUUAUGCAUGCUGUGCUAAAUGUUAUAUUCACAAGAUACAUGGCUUUGUGGUCAUAUCUAACACAUAUCAUAUGAUAUCAUUUGCAAUAGAUCAUAUGCUAAAUGUUAUAGUAAUUAUGUAUUUUUGCCAUUUAACAUAGAUCAUAUGAUAUUAAAAUUACUAACAAAUACAAAAAUUAGUUAAGUAACUACUUACUUCCUUGGAUAAUGACAUCACCAAUGACUUAGUUGCAUGCUCCUUUUUUUGUGUAUUCAUUUUUUGACCUUGUUGGUGGUGUUGCUAAAUUCUUUCCUCGUGGAUAAGUAAACAAUAACGGAUAAUUCCUCGGGAUAAAAAUUUCAAACUACUGACAAAAAAGAGAAAUUAGUAUGUAAACCACUAUCUUAUUAGCUUCACCCACUCAAAAUGCAUUUAAGUUAAUGCAAUAUCUAGUCAAGUUCGAUCAACGCUUUUCAGACCAAGGAAGAUUUCAAAUAGUGCAACCGAAUUUGUGUAAGUGUAAAUCAUGCAUAAGGAUUAAACUAAUGGGCAUCUUGUAAUGGAGGAUGCAAUGAACAUAGAAGAUAAAUCAAAAGAGAGAGAAGAUAAAUCAAAAGAGAGAGACACUCUUCAGAAGCUUAUGAUUUCAUACCCGAUAACCACACUCUUCACGAACUUAUGAUUAAAAAGUUCAAUAGUUUGUUCGUGGAAUCAACUAUUGAACUAUCAAAUCAUGUUUUCAUACCCGAAUCCCGAUAACCACUAAAAUUGUAGUAAAAGAGCAUACCCAGUGCUCCUAACUACAUAUAGCUGAAAAAUCCUCAAUACUUGCCUAUAAACUCAAACACCUACACACUCAAUCACCACAAUCUAUUAUAGCUAGACCAAAGAGCAGAAGUUGUAAUUGCUUUCAGACUUUACCAGAACUGUCCAAUUUUUUUGUUUUGUUAACCUGAAGUCUUGAACUGCUCUUUCUAAAAGUUACUGAGAUUAAGCAGGUCAGAGGUUGUAAAGACUAGAGAAGAAAGAUGCAAAUGUAGUAUGGGUCUAGAAAGAAUUGGUGAAUUUUCCACACCUUAGAGGUGUUUUAUCAUUUCAUAUAUAUACAAGAGUUUACAAUAAUCUUGGAGAGAUUUCCUCUCAAUGAUCCUAAAGAUAUUCUCUCAAUCAUAUAUUCUCUCAAUGAUCCUAAAGAUAUUCUUUCCAUAUACAUAUUAUGCACACAUGUUUAAUGUGAUCAUCUAGAAGGUUCAUCAGAGUCAUUGCUUGAUAUCUUAACACCCCCCUUCAAGAUGAUGGUACUGCAAGGACGAACCAUCAGCUUGUCACGCAGGAACUGAAAUCUGGGAACACUUAAGCCUUUAGUGAAGAUAUCCGCUGUUUGAUCGGUACUACAAACGAAAACGAUUUUUAGUGAACCAUUCAUAACUCGUUCCCUUAGAAAGUGAUAAUCAAUUUCAAUGUGUUUGGUUCUUGCAUGGAGAAUCGGAUUGGAUGCUAAAUAUGUGGCACUAAUAUUGUCGCAAUGAAGGAUGGGAGGAUGAGAUAAUGGAAUACGUAACUCACGAAGUAAAAAUGUGAGCCACUGAAGGUCAGCUGCAGUGUGAGCUAGUGCACGAUAUUCUGCUUCGGCACUUGACCUUGAAACUGUUGUUUGCUUUUUUAGUGGCCCAAGUGAUCAAGUUGCGACCAAAAUACACACAUAGACCUGUUGUCGAUCUUCUAUCGUCGGGACAACCAGCCCAAUCAGCAUCAGAGAACCCUCGAAGACAUUCAUCUUUAGAUUUAACAAGAUGAAUUCCGUAGUUAGGUGUAUUUUUAACAUAACGAAUGAUACGUUUGACGACAGCAAGGUGACUGUCUCGUGGUUGAUGCAUAAAUUGGCAAACUUGAUUGACUGCAUAAGUGAGAUCUGGGCGAGUGAUUGUGAGAUAUUGUAGAGCACCAACUAGACUCCUAUACGAGGUCGCAUCAACAAGAGAACUGGAGUCAGAUAAAGAUAGCUUUGUUCCAGCAGCAACUGGUGAUGAGCAUGGCUUAGCAAGAAGAAAGUUUGCCUUCUUAAGCAAGUUGAGAGCAUACUUGGUCUGGCUUAGCUGGAUGCCUUUCGAAUCACGAUGAACUUCAACACCUAAGAAAUAAUUUAAUGGUCCAAGAUCCUUGACAUCAAACUUCUUAUUAAGUGUUGCAAUAACCUUGGAGAGAUGACCAGUAUUUGAUCCCGUAAUGAUAAUAUCAUCGACGUAGACCAAAAGAAUUAUAAUGUCAUUAGAAGCAUACUGCAGGAACAUGGAUGUGUCGGCUUUACUUCGAAUAAAACCCAUAUCAAACAAAACAACACUGAGUUCAUCAAACCAGGUACGUGGUGCUUGUCGUAACCCAUAAAUGGACUUGUGAAGACGACAUACAUGAUUUGGAAAUUGUUUAUCGGUGAAUCCUGGAGGUUGCUUCAUGUAGACAGUUUCACGAAGAAUACCAUGUAGAAAUGCAUUUUUGAUGUCAAGUUGUCGAAUCGACCAAUUGCGAUUGCUUGCAAUGGAUAAGACAAGGCGGACAGUUGGAGGUUUAACGACUGGACUGAAUGUUUCAUCAAAGUCUAGCCCAUACUGCUGAUUGUAUCCUUUAGCAACAAGUCUGGCUUUGUGUCUUUCUAUGGUGCCAUCUGCAUGUCUUUUAAUCUUAAAGACCCAUUUGCAGCCUACAACAUUUGUUGCGUGAGAUGUGGGAACAAGUGACCAGGUACGUUGACGAAGUAGAGCAUUGAAUUCAUCAAGCAUAGCAGCCCGCCAUUCAGGAAAUUUGGAUGCUUCAGUAUAACAUGUUGGUUCUUCCAUAGGACUAUUAACCACUACUUGAAAACAUUUCGGUAAAGUAUGUUUGCUCACAAGGCCAGUAAAAGGUUGUUUUGGUCGGCUAAUACCAGCACGAAGGCGAGUCACCAUUGGGUGUUGUAUAGUUGUUGCAUCCAAGGUUUGAGGUGGUGGUGGUAAACGAGAGAUAGUCUCUUGUGAUGGUUGGGUCUCGUGUGUGGGUGGGCUUUCAGGUGUUGGUGGGCUUUCAGGUGUUGGUGGGUUUUCAUGUGGUGGUGGGGUCUCAUUGAGUUGGGGUGGAGGAAUUGGUAGUGUUGUUGAAGUGGUAACAGUAGUGGGGUUAGAGACAGUGUUGUUUUUAAAGGAUGGUGGUAAGAGAAGGCCUCUAGUAAUUGGUGGUGUGGGUUCAAUAGGAGCAAGCCAAUCUUCGAGUGACUUUGAAGCCUUAAGUGGACCUGUAGUGAGCAAUUGCGCAAAUGGAAAGAUGUCCUCAUUGAAGCGAACAUGGCGAGAUAGAUAAACUUUUCCACUUUUUGGAUCAAAGCAUCUAUAACCUUUUUGUUGGCUUCCAUAGCCCAAGAAAACACACGACACUGAUUUUGGCGAGAGUUUAUCUGCUUUAGUUGCACCAAGAAAAGGAAAACACUGGCAUCCAAAUGUACGGAGUGUAGCAUAGUCAGGAACCUUGUGAAAGAGCAUCUCAUAUGGUGACUUGUAGUUCAACCCAUGAGAAGGUAAUCUGUUAAUAAGAUAAACUGAGGUUGAGAAUGCUUCCAUCCAAAAUUUGCGUGGUAGAAAGGCAUGAUGACAAAGAGAAAGACCAUGCUCAACAAUGUGUCGGUGCUUGCGCUCAGCUUUACCAUUCUGUUCGGGCGUAUGAGGGCAAGUAAUGCGAUGUUCAAUGCCACUAUUGACAAGCAACUCUGCAAAAACUUUAUUAACAUACUCCUUUCCACCAUCAGUUUGCAAAGAUUUUAUAGUAGUGCCAAAUUGAUUUUCAACAGCAAAUUUAAAUUUUCGAAAAUAAUCAAAUGUUUCAGAUUUGCGAAUGAGAGGAUAAAUCCAUGUAUAUUUAGAAUAAUCAUCCACAAAAAUGAGAUAAUACCUGAAACCACCAUGAGAUAGUUCAGGUGCAGGACCCCAUAAAUCUGAAUGAAUAAGUUGCAAAGGGGCAGUGGAUUUAAAUAAAGAUCUUAAAAACGGCAAACGACAACUUUUAUUAAUAGAACAACUCAAACAGUUAGGAAUUUUAGAACUUCCAAUAAACUGAAGGCACUUAUGUUUCACUAAAUGAUGUAAAAUAUUUGGUCCAGGAUGACCAAGUCGCUUGUGCCAAUUAGCUAAGGUAGAACUUUUCCGAACCAUGGCUGUGUAAAAAUGGGGAAAAGAGCCAUGGCGUUGUGCUUGCAUAGGGAAGAGUGAGUUUUUACUCUUUCCUUGAUGAAGUAACUUCCCUGUCCGUCGAUCCUUUAUAUAAAAACCACCACGAACAAAAGUGAAUUUGCAAUCAUUAUCAUAAACAAAACGAUAGACGGAAAGUAAAUUUGCUGUUAAAUUUGGCACAUAUAAAAUAUCUUUCAACUGAAAAUUAGAAGAUGGUGUGGAAAGUAUCAAAUCACCAGUAGCUUCGAUAGGUAGGGUCUUACCAUUUGCAACAGUAACCUGAUCAGAUCCAUGAUAAGUUUGACGAUUGAUCAUGUUCGAGUCAUCCGGAGUCAUAUGAUUUGUUGCUCCAGAAUCUGGGAACCAUGUUGAUUCACACGGUGCAGAAAAACUCAUAGCNNNNNNNNNNNNNNNNNNNNNNNNNNNNNNNNNNNNNNNNNNNNNNNNNNNNNNNNNNNNNNNNNNNNNNNNNNNNNNNNNNNNNNNNNNNNNNNNNNNNAGGAAGAUCAUCACCUUGAUUUGAAGUAUUGUUUUGUCGGUAAGUGGUUGCACCAUGUCCCGCAUUGUUGCAAUGAUGACAAUCAGGAUGUGAGUUGUGAGAAGUAUAAGAGUAGCCCCGACCAUUACCACGACCUCUAUAGGAACCACGACCAUUUCCACGGCCUCUGUAAGAACCACGUCCAUUCCCUCGACCACGAGAAUAUGAACGACCAUGACCCCGAUUGUUUGAGACAAAGAAGGCGCUGGUUUCACGAUCAGAGUGAGGCUGAUGAUAUAUUUCCAAACGUUUCUCCCGAUUGAGGAGCAUGCUGUAUAGUUCUUCAAAUGAUGGAGGACUACACAUAGCCUGGACCGUAUUAACAACAACAUCGUAAUCAAGAUCUAGGCCAUCAAGAACACAACCGACCAAGUCUCGAGUGGUCAAAGGAUGCUGAAUGAGAGAGAGUUCAUCAGAAAGCAUUUUAAUACGAUCCAUAUACUCAGUAAUAGUUGAGGAACCUUUCUUCAUGUUUGAUAGUUCAUGUUUGAUCUGAUAAUAUCGAGCAUUUGUUUGAGACAUAUAAGCACGAUCUAAUGCUUCCCAAGUUUCACGGGCAGUCUUGUAGCCAACAACCUGCGCAAACACUGGAGGUGUUAAUGUAGCAUGAAUCCAACUAAGAAGAAUUUGAUCUUUCUUCUUCCAUUCAAUGAACUUUGGGUUUAUAACAGUGGUUGCAUUCACUGCAACUACUUCUUGUGGGGUAGAGAUAGUACCAUCAACCAUACUCAACAUAUCAGUUCCAUAAAGAAUAGGAAGUAAUUGACUUUUCCAUAACAAAUAAUUUGUUCGAUCAAGUUUGAUUGCGACCUGGGAUAAAUUUGGUAUUCCAGGAAUGCAAGAUGGGAAGUAAGAUGAUGAAGAAGAGGUGGAAGAUAACGAGGGAGAUGAAGAAGGAGUCAUUAGGACAGGAUUCAAGAGACCUGUGAAACCUGCUCUGAUACCAAGAAAGAAUUGGUGAAUUUUCCACACCUUAGAGGUGUUUUAUCAUUUCAUAUAUAUACAAGAGUUUACAAUAAUCUUGGAGAGAUUUCCUCUCAAUGAUCCUAAAGAUAUUCUCUCAAUCAUAUAUUCUCUCAAUGAUCCUAAAGAUAUUCUUUCCAUAUACAUAUUAUGCACACAUGUUUAAUGUGAUCAUCUAGAAGGUUCAUCAGAGUCAUUGCUUGAUAUCUUAACAGGUCUCACCUGCAACCUGUGAGCUAAGAAUCUUAUCACCAUCAGAGGAAGGUUUUCGAUAUCUACCCAUCUGUUCUGGCCUUAGCCAACACCUAAGGGUCGCUAUCUUGAACAAACCCUUGCUCUAAAGCAAUAUGCAAAAUACAUCAAACACCAUUUGAAAAUCCCAAAUAACAAUAAAAUAACAGAUCUGGAGUUUCUUGUUGGUUUUACACUUAUAAACCGUCAUACUUGUGUUCACUGAUCUGAAACUUAAAGUAAGGUGCUGUUUGUUUUUCCACUUUUCUAGUAACUAGUAGCUUAUAAGCUAUUAGAUCAGCCAAAAGCCCGUUUGUUUUUUUGGGCUUAUAAGAUUUUCUAGUAGAAAAUCGCUAGUUAGUAGGCGGUUACUAUAAGCUCCAGGAUGGAGCUUAUAGGUAGUAGAAAUAUCUGAUAGGAUGUAAAAUUACAUCUAAAACCCUUCUUAAUAAUUAAAAUUACUAUUCAAACCAAAAUCAAAACUGAAAAUUUACAUGGGUUAUGUUUGUUCUAUUUUCGUGGUCUUUUUCUAUUAUUUUAAAAAUUAUUUUAUUGUAUUCAUUCAUUAAGAGAUACUAUUAUUUGUUAUGGUGUAAUAUUAUUUCAUUAAAAAUUUUCUAUGUGUAGUAAAAUAAAAUAAUUAUAGAACAUAAGUCCAUUUUUUUAACGAGGGUAUAUUAGUAAAAAAAGAAUAUAUAAAUAGAUUCAGAAGUGGUAAAAACAAACAGGUAGAACUUAUAAGAAUAGCUUAUAAAAAAUUAUUCAAAAUAAAAACAAACAACAUAUCUUAUAAGCUAUUAGACAUCUAAUAGCUUAUAAGCUACUAGCUAUUAGAACUUGAAAAAACAAACAUCACCUAAAUUUUAAUUGAGCAUCCGCUAUAAAAAUAUUUUCAAUCAGUUAAGAAGAGAACCGCAACAUGAGAAGCAGACCACUUUCUUAUGGCCUACCAUGCCAUUCUCUAAUGGAGAAUGAGGAAUUAAAUUGUAAAUAGCAAUAAUAUAAAGCACUAUAUGAAUACAAUAGAAAGGUAAUUAAAAAGGCGAUCAGAUUGGUGAGAUUACUCAAAAUGAGACAUUGUCCAUAUUUAAUUGAUGAGACAAUACCGAAUACCAAUAACUUCAGAAGCAAAUCUCUGCAUUUCAGGCUCUAACAAUCAUAUUACCUUUCUAAAUUUCUGAGACGUACUUUUUCAGGUAAAAAACUCCUGCUUAUACGUUUUCUAAGAAUAAAAGUUACAUUAUAUGAAGAGAAAUAUAAAUAGCUCCCAGCACUCAAAAACACUAUAAAAUAAUGUUCAAUAAAAAAAAUACCUAGAAAAUAUAUAUACUCCAGUAUGAUUGAGAUAGAUACCUAAGAAUAUAACUUUCAAUUGCCAUAGUAAUAUACAAAAUCAUUCCCUUCAAUUUUGUUUCUAUUCCUGAUUCUAAGCUUUAUGAAGUAAUGCUAAGAUUAACAUUGGAGAUUCAAGAUACACUCACCAUUCACAGAAAAUUAGUUUGUGAUUGGAAAGAGUUCGUUGCUGGUUAUGGACUUGGUCUGUGGUGGAGUGACGAUAAUCUAUCUGCAACAUUAAAAAUCUGCAUUACUUUAGGAUACAUAUGAACAAUUGUGAAUUACAAAUUAAACCAAUUAAAGAAAGGUGGAAAAACAAGACCAAAUACAAAAACUAAAAUGGCAUUGAUGAACACAUACAAUCUGCAACUUGUGUGUAGCCAGUAGCCUUGAUUACAAUCUUAACUAAUAAAAAAGGGAAGUUUUUGGAUUCAUGGAUGUGGUUGAAUUUUGGUGGUCUGUUAAACUUAGAUGACAUUAAUUAGUGACAAGUGAAAACCAUUUUCAGUGUAAUAGAACAUUAUUUUUUCUUUUUUCUUUUCUUCUUUAUUUAUGGGUAGAUCACUCAUAAAUGUACACUCUCCAAGACUGAUAGUAAUUUCCAGUUUGAUUGUCUUGAUGGACCUAAGGAACCAUCCAAUAAAAGAUAGCACGAUUGUUCCAAGGAAAAAUACAAUCAAACCCAACAAUAAUGUCACAGCUUCAAAACAAAAUAAAUGAGAGUGAAAAAGAUUAUAUGUUAGAAUUCAAAUAUGAAGAAAUGCACAAUUUCAUAUAUUUUUCAUAUUUAGUUGAAUCUAUGAUAUAACUUCAAUUUAAACAACAUCCAAGAAAUGCCAGUUUUGACUCCAAAGUCCACAAAAAGCAGAUAGAUUGCACCCAGUUUCAAUUUUUAUUUUAUUUUUUUAAACAUUUGAGUCUUAUUAUAUGAUUAAAUAGUGUCUCUAUAUGAUUUUUGUAAAUGACCUUAUUGAGCUAUCAGAUUCAAUUUCAAAAGAACGAUCGUUGACUAACAAAGAACGCUCAAGGAAAAUAAGUUGCUUGGUAAUAAGAGGGUUGUGACUCUUACGGCCACAACCUAAUCGGCUAAUCUAUAUCUUUACUUUUGAGCUGCAAGUGUUAUCCUUAGGUUUUAAAAUGACUUUGAACCAAUUCUCAACGUGGCUUUUAUUAUUUAAGAAAUACGAUACAGAGGUUGUGAUAUUGUUUAUGAAUGCAAUCUCAUUCCUCGGUACAAACUAACUUCUACAAAGUGAAUCCUAACACAGAAAUCAACUUCAUUUUUCUUAGCAUAUAAUAAACUACUAAAAGAAGAAGGAUAUGUCAAGUACAAACAUGUAAGGGAGCAUCGUAUGGUCUUUGUUCUUGUAGAGAUGUGGAGGAAAUAAAAUGCAGUCAUCUUAACCUAACUAUCAAACUCCAAAAAAUAUACAACAUCAUUACGAAACAAUAAACAUACAUAUGAGCCACCCAAAAUAAUGCAGACUACUUUUAGCAGCCAAAACAAAUAUGGCUUGCAGGCUGAAAGUUAAUCUACCAGGACCACUCUAAAAUUUAUAUUUAGUUUCCUUGUCAAACACCAUGUGUAUUAAGCACAAAAGUCCCAGGAUGCAAUAUGAUUGAAAUACUAUAUUACUGAUUCAUAACUUAAAAUUUAUAAGUCUCACGUGCAUUUUAUAGGUGUCAUAGGCUGCAGAUGAAAUCAGGAAAGUAAGAAAAGCAGUUUGUAUUGAGUCACUUAUUUACUGGGAUUUGUAUGAUGAGCAGCUGGUGAAUAUAAGGAGAGCGUGUUCCUUGCCGCUAUCACUUUCCACCAUUGAACUAUUCCUGAACUUACUUGUAUAUACGUAGUAUGUCUACUUCCCUUAUUCUACAUAGUUUGGUCUUCUUAUAUAUACUAUUGUUUGAAAUGCACCGAAAUCUCUUAUCUACACAUAUUUUAACAUAGAUAAAUAAUAGCGAAGCUCGUGAUUAAUUAUGAAGAAAAACAUUCUAACAAUGAGAGAUAGCUUACCUUCAAGGUUAUUCUACAUAGUAAAUUGUAUCGUCAAUUCCAGAGUAGCAAUCUGCAAGAAGAGAAUAAGACAGAUAGUUAAAUGGUUAACACAAUGAACCAUCAACCGAUAAAAAAGUGCGAUGACACUUGGCCAUUAAGAGAGUUUACAAUUGCUAAAGAAAUGCAUACUCGUAUUAACUAUGCAUUUGAAAAAAUGUUUACGUCAGUAUUUGGUUUUGCUUCAAUAUCACAGGAUUUCCAAGAGAGAAAUUAUUAAUUGAUUGUCAUAAAACUAAACCCACUUUGGCGUAGCAAGAAACUUACUGUAAAAUGUAACAAUUUGAUAGAAAUAGUGCAAUCAUGCUAGAGAAUUGGAGAUGCAGAAUGCAGUUUGAACAUUUGAACACUCUCCCGUAAUACAAGAAUAUAUGGUAGUCUAAUAAGGAAAUUCAUCAUCUCCUACCCGAUGUAACUUUAGCAUUCAGGUUGACCUUUCAAUGUCAGUGUACCAAGUGUUUUUAGUCAGUUCUAUACUUCUAUAUAGUCUUUGUUUUAUAUUCAGUACCGAUCAGUAGGUAAAAUUCAAUAAAUUCUAUAUAGUCUUCGUAGGUAAGACCUUCCCCGUUAUUUGUGACCUGAUAGAUACUGUAUCACACUAUCAUAAAUUGUUGUAAUUGGCUAAGAACUUGAUAACGUUCAUUCAACCAUAAUGAAGCACGGAGAAAAUAAGAGAAAAGAGAACACCGAAGAAAGAAAAGUUCUUAUAAAAAGAAAUCUGAUAUAAGAAUGAGUGAUAAUAAAACUUAUGAUGCUAUUCAAACUGUGAUACAAACAUGGUUUAUAAUUGCUAAUUGUUCCUAAAAGAAUUUUUCAGUGGAGGUUGGUUCUUAGUGCAGUAAAUCAGAUCGUAGUUUCAAUUUUAAUUUAGGAAAAGGGUUUACUUGGCUUCUCAUUCCACAAUUAAUCAACAUCUAUUUAUUUCAUCUACAAUUGUAUUAUAUUCCUAAUGAAUAUAAAAAAGAUGUAUCUGUUUAUCCUUUACAGAUCCCAUGUACAACACACAUGGCUGUCCAAGUAGGAAAAUGCAAACCUCAGGUCAGAUAUAUACUUUGGUAAAAAUAAUUUUAAAUGAUAAUUCACAAACAGGAGUUCUUGUACAAACCUAUUUAUUCAUUAAUAAAUAGAAAGAAAAUAAAGUUUGUUAUUUAGACAAAUUCAGAUAAGGUACCUAAGCCAAGUACAAAACCCUAGAAGUGGAGCCAGUACGUUCAACAUCUUAACCAUAUGUGGGUACUUCGAAAGAGUUAACUGAUUGUGGGUGAUGUAACGCCCCGGGAUUUCGUCCUCGCUCAUCCCGGUGCGUCGAGCACCAUACCGCUCGCUAAUGUCAAUAUUGUCCCCCUUUAGUCACUGCGGAUAUCCAGCAGUAGAGGAUUUUGGAUCACGGCCCACCCAUGUGGUUUACCCCAAAAGGCCUUGACAUUAGUUAGAGUAUGGUUAAGCUCUAUAUACUACCCAUACAACCACUUCCUUGGCAAUGUGGGACUAACACCAACUCAUGGGUGUUACAGGUGAACCGAUGAGAGUUAAGCGAUUCCCACUCUUUCUUUUUCCAUAACGAUGCACACAAUAGUAUGGUUCUCCAACCGAUGUUGUGUGGGUGUUCCAACAUUUUAUAAAAUGGUUGCUCCGCCUCUAGACAAAGGCUAAUAUCCCAGCAGUAUGGUUCUCCAACCAAUGAAGCCAUUGAGUAUUACAAUUUGAGAAAGUAGUUGAUCGAUCCAAUGUCCUCUAUGAAGUCUGUAAACCUCCAAAAAAAUAAAGCACGCAGAAAUUUGUAUCCCUAUUCUAUAUUCUGGAAAAAAAAAAUGCAAAGAGAACAACAAAAAAAUUGCAGAUUGUCUAACGAAUUCGAUCUGUAUUCAAAAUUUUAGAUGUUUAAUUAUAUGUUAAUAAAAAAUCACAAACAUAUAAGGUGGGACAGGUUCUGAACAAAAAUUAUAAUAUAUUCUUGUACCCACUAACAUUCUAAUCAUAGUAUACAAUUUUGAAUUUUGACAUCGAUACUAUCUUAAAUUAAUUGUAGUCUUAAAGCUUUUCUUUGACCUUCUAUGUGUUAUACAACGAAAAUGAGACAGUUUUGACACCUAUAUGAUAAUAUAGGUAUAGGUGUUAAAAUAUAACAAUAUCCGACAAUCAAAAAUAACUCACUUGUCAAAACUGUCUCCCCAACUUGUCAAAGUUGUCUCACAUGUAUGUUUUAUAUUAAGUUGAGAAUUAAUAUAUAUUAUCAGAAAACCAACCAGAACAACAACACAUUGUAUUAAUGACAAAACCAUAACUUUCUCCAUAAUUUCCUACAAUUACCACCUUCAAGACUUCGACAAUUUUUUUUUAAGGUGGACCUUGUUUUCUUUUGGAUAUGUGAAGAUCAAUGUCGAUGGACUUUCUAGGGGAAAUCCUGGCAGAGCAAGAUGGGGUGUUGUCUACCAGACGGUGAUGGUACUGUACUAUCUUAGGAGACAACUUAGGAGGACUGUGAGUUGUUUCUAACAUUAUUGCUAAAAAAAUGGAACUUAAGGACUGCUACAAGAAAUAACUCAAUAUGAAGGCUAUGGGACAGGGCUGAGAUUGCAUUUGGCUAGGAGGAGAUUCCGAGCCAGUGAAUUAAUGGGUCAAAAAGGGCAUUGUACACUGGACUGCUAAAAAAACAAAUACUAAAAAUCAAGGAGACAAAGCCAUAUGAAUUAGACUAUCUUAAAACCAACAUAGUAUUUUUUUAUCUUAAACAUUUUUAUACCCUAAUAACACGAAGGUCAUAUGAAUUUGACUAUCACAAUAAUUUAAUUAUCUAAAAAGCCAUAUGAAUUUGGCAGAGCUAUCCUAAUAUUAAUAUCUUUUAUAUCUUUUCCAAGGUAUAAUAUUAAUUAUACUUGACCAAUAUGUUACUUUUCAGAAGGUGUAUAUUUCACCACUUUUGCAUCCUAUUUCAGUAAGUAGGUUAUGAAUUCAGAAGGUUUGAAAUAAUUCAUAAGUGGAAAUUUUUUAAACCAUUGAAUCUCCACGAAUUAACUAUUGUAGUAAUUCUCUGCUAAUUAAUUGUUGAAAGUUUGUGGGAUGUCUUCAAACUUAAAUUGAAUUCAGAAGUAUUUAAACAAAUCAAUCUCCACGAAUAGUAUCUAAUGUAACCUUGAAGAUAAUAACACAAUACGUACCUUGAACAUGGAAAUCAAACAGGAUGAAGUAGAUGAUGAUCACAAUUGAAGAAUCUAUAACAUUUAAUGAAGUAGUCAAUAAAAAAAAUGCAGAUAUGGUUUUCUUUCUUGGUAGAUAUUAUAGUUUGAAAAACAAUAAUUCCAAUGGUUAUUCCAAGAACACAAACAUCUAUAUAUUUGCAAGAAAACAAUUUGUAAGGAAAACUUACAUUCAAAGGAGAAGACAGAGAAUAAAAGAGAGAAGUGUGUGAUUAAUUGUCGAAGAAGAAGCCAUAAUAGAGAGAGAUAAAUAGGUUUCUGUCAAAGGAUUAUAAGUUGUAGGUUUAAUGAAAAAGGUUUAAAAAAAUGAGUAGUUAAUUAGCCCUACACAAUUGUUGGAGAUAAAGGUAUGGAGAAUCCAAGAAUAGUGGGGGUGAAAAUGAAAUGAUUUUUCUGUUCCUCGUCUUUUCUUCUUUUUACAAUUUUGGAUUUUGGGGUUGUUUAACUGAACUACUGAUGCACGUUUGGCUUUUCUUAUUACCAUGCUAUCACCUGUGGCAUUCAGUUUGACUUGUUGUAAGGUGUGGAUUUUGUGUGGCAGAACUGCAUAAUAGCAAGACAGUCUGCGUUUGCUGCUACUAUCAAGAAUAACUUGUUCGUUUAGCACCCUCUACUUAGACUUGACUUAUACACGUCAUACUAAUCAUCCUACUUAUAACCUCAGCUAUAUUUCAUUUUUUUACUGGCGGCUAAUUUGUUCGUUUACCACCCUCUACUUAGACUUGACUUAUACACGUCAUACUAAUCAUCCUACUUAUAACCUCAGCUCUAUUUCAUUUUUUUACUGGCGGCUUUAACUAUAAUCUCAAUUCUAUUCAUUUAAAAUUGAUUGAAUAAACAAUUCGUAAAAAUAAAUGUUUUGCAAGAACCUCAGCUCUAUUUAUUUGAAAUUUAUUGAAUAAACAAUUCAUAAAAGUAAAUGUUUUGCAAGAUUCCAGGUAGUCCAUAGUUCCUUCGAUGUGCAUGCAAAAGGUUAUAUGGUACUUUGGCGUCAUUGUUUUGGUUUUUAGUUUUGGACCCAUGAGGAGAGUCUUCUCGAAACAAUAUUAAUUAAAACUAAAAGUUAGCUGUUAAAAGGAAAAUGCUAACCUAUAACAGAUCGAUAAAUGAGAUUGAAUGUACCAAGUACAACAGCAGGGUAGUAUGAACAAAGUAUGCAUCUUAGGUUCCUUUGUUUGUAGGGAAAAUAGUUAGCUGUUACAAGGAAAAUGCUAACCUAUAACAGAUCGAUAAAUGAGAUUGAAUGUACCAAGUACAGCAGCAGGGUAGUAUGAACAAAGUAUGCAUCUUAGGUUCCUUUGUUUGUAGUGCAAAUAGUUAGUUGUUACAAGGAAAAUGCUAACCUAUAACAGAUCGAUAAAUGAGAUUGAAUGUACCAAGUACAACAGCAGGGUAGUAUGAACAAAGUAUGCAUCUUAGGUUCCUUUGUUUGUAGGGCAAAUAGUUAGUUGUUACAAGGAAAAUGCUAACCUAUAACAGAUCGAUAAAUGAGAUUGAAUGUACCAAGUACAACAGCAGGGUAGUAUGAACAAAGUAUGCAUCUUAGGUUCCUUUGUUUGUAGGGCAAAUAGUUAGCUAUUACAAGGAAAAUGCUAAUCUAUAACAGAUCGAUAAAUGAGAUCGAAUGUACCAAGUACAACAACAGGGUAGUAUGAACAAAGUAUGCAUCUUAGGUUCCUUUGUUUGUAGGGCAAAUGAUUAAAAUUUCAAACUCAUAUAACUGCAAUACACAAACUCACUCUCUAGCUAGGCGCCCGAUUCAUAAAAACCUUCCAUAAAGCUAAAACAUAUGAAAAACUCUAUCUUUAAAAAUCUCUAAAACAUAUCACCAUUAGUCAGCUUAUGUAGAAUAACAAUACUGAAUUAUAACUAACCAAAAAAACAAAAACCCAAUACUGUAUCUCAAAUUCACUUCAGUAAAUCUUACUAAAACUACUCAAACACAAAAACCCAAACUCUGAAAUCUAUAGAAUCAACAAGUUUUGAGCUUAAAACCAUACCUUGGGGUCAAAUUGCAUUUUCCAAACUUCAGAAUCAGCAGCAAGAGAUUCAAGAGUAAGUAAUUAUGUGAGAAGCAACAUAGAGUAUUUCAAUCAUGAUCAGAUAAAUAAUCAAUAAGAACUUAUAAGCACAGAAUUUGUGUAAUCUACACUUCUAAUUCGUAACGUCACAAAAAAUAUGUAAAAAAACUUGAAGAGAAACAGGAAAACUUGAAGAGAAACAGGAAAACUUGAAGAGUGGGAAAAAAAACAUGUAAUCGUGAGUGUUUUGUCACUAAUCGUUGUGGGAAUUGAUUAGUCGACAGAAAUUCCAGUGAGAGGAAGAGAACUAAGGUUUACGAAAGAGGAAGAAGGGUUUAGAAUCAGACGGAAAGGGACCAAAAAUAUACACCGUGUUGUUUUCAACUUUUAAUCAUAUCCCCACCGUCAGAUCAAAUAUCAACAUCCUACGGUCUUAGUUGUCUCAGCGUUUGUCUAUAGACAAACUUAUGUACCCGUUGUCGCUUAUAACUUAGACUAAUAAAACCCAUGGCGCUGCCACGACUACCAUUAAUAAUUUAAAGAUAGUAAUAUUAAAAAUAUUAUUCUGUCACAUUUAAUUUUAGGAGUUAGAUUUGUAGUUUAUUCUUUUAAAACAGAUAUUCAGUAGGUGUAACAUAUAUCAAUUUACAUAGGUUAUACAGACGUAUCCCUCAGUCCAAGAGACAUAUAUCAAUUUACAUAAGUUAUACAAACUUAUUCACACUACAAAACACAGACAAUUUAAACCUAAAAAGACCAAAAAGAUUCGAGUGUGUGAGAUAGAAAUAAGAAUACUAAUAUUGGCAUGGAAGUACUGGUCUGUACAUAUUUGUUAAUAUUGUAUCCUCUUUAUAAUCAUUGAGAGAACUAAUCUAAUAUGUACAUGACAUUAAUACAUUGGUAGAAGAUUAAGAACCGAGAUUGAAGAGAUUAAAUGGAUGUUUUCAAGUGGUGUAAAUGUGGAGCAAAUGUAAACGAUGCAAGCUUCAACAUUGUUGUCCAUGUGAAGAGUAUAGAGGCAGG